Molecule: transfer RNA, 72 nt
Filed under: Bacteroidia bacterium
Lineage: Bacteria; Pseudomonadati; Bacteroidota; Bacteroidia
Description: tRNA-Trp
Rfam family: tRNA
About the family: Transfer RNA (tRNA) molecules are approximately 80 nucleotides in length. Their secondary structure includes four short double-helical elements and three loops (D, anti-codon, and T loops). Further hydrogen bonds mediate the characteristic L-shaped molecular structure. tRNAs have two regions of fundamental functional importance: the anti-codon, which is responsible for specific mRNA codon recognition, and the 3' end, to which the tRNAs corresponding amino acid is attached (by aminoacyl-tRNA synthetases). tRNAs cope with the degeneracy of the genetic code in two manners: having more than one tRNA (with a specific anti-codon) for a particular amino acid; and 'wobble' base-pairing, i.e. permitting non-standard base-pairing at the 3rd anti-codon position.
Source: RNAcentral
AGGGGCGUAGUUUAAUGGUAGAACGGAGGUCUCCAAAACCUUUGGUGGGAGUUCGAUUCUCUCCGCCCCUGC